GCGAGGAUGGCGGAAUCGGCAGACGCGCACGUUUGAGGGGCGUGUGGGGUUACCCGUGCGGGUUCAAGUCCCGCUCUUCGCACCA
This 85-nucleotide transfer RNA is filed under the name Clostridiales bacterium. Its description in RNAcentral is "tRNA-Leu". It matches the Rfam family "tRNA". From Rfam's summary of the family: Transfer RNA (tRNA) molecules are approximately 80 nucleotides in length. Lineage: Bacteria; Bacillati; Bacillota; Clostridia; Eubacteriales. The record is from RNAcentral.